UUCAGCCGGAUGCGGAUAGAAUUAUCAAACAAAUUUCUGAUAAGAUCGAGAUGGUAGCUGAAAAAGUGGUUGACGAGAUUUUGAUUGUGCUUUAGGACUAUCAAGUGUUUCUGCCACGCCGAAUCUACUCCCUGUUGACCAGGAUAAACCAGAAACGUCUGGAGUGCACGUCGAUGAAAACGAGGACUAUGAAACCAAUUCAGAACACGAAGAAGAAAAUUCGCUAGAAGAUUCUGAUGACGAUUGAUAUGAGAUUUUGAUUUUUUUUUCAUGAAUGGAGAUAUAAAUUCCGGUUAAGAUGAGGAAGAAUACGGGCGUGCAGAUACAAAAUUCAAACGGAAGUAAUGUUACCAAACUGGAUGGAGGAAAUGUUUUAACGUUUUUAAUGAUGAACUGAAGAUGUUGUUUUGUUUUUUUUUAAACAAUUAGUUAAUUAGAGCUAAUAACGACCAUUCAUAUUAUUUUAUUUGGAUAUCGACGUUUGAUAAUUUGAUACAGAUAACAUGCACGAAUAAUCACAACAAUCAAUCAGAUUCAAAUGUAUGUAAAAGCGGAAUGUAAACAUAAUUAUUAACAUUGUAAGGAAUUACAACAAACUUGCACAUGAUGUCUUCUAUACUAUAAGCCUUCGACUGUUUCAAAUGAGAAAUCUGAGCUUCGUAAAUGUACAAAAACGACGAGCGAAUAGGUAGUUUGAAAAAAUCAGUUU
Molecule: long non-coding RNA, 709 nt
Organism: Aedes aegypti (yellow fever mosquito)
Lineage: Eukaryota; Metazoa; Arthropoda; Insecta; Diptera; Culicidae
Exons: 2
Source: RefSeq, a predicted model, not a curated record